UACAGAGGGUGCGAGCGUUAAUCGGAAUUACUGGGCGUAAAGCGUGCGCAGGCGGUUUUGUAAGCCAGAUGUGAAAUCCCCGGGCUUAACCUGGGAAUGGCAUUUGGGACUGCAAGGCUUGAGUGCGGCAGAGGAGACUGGAAUUCCUGGUGUAGCGGUGAAAUGCGCAGAUAUCAGGAGGAACACCGGUGGCGAAGGCGGGUCUCUGGGCCGUAACUGACGCUGAGGAGCGAAAGCGUGGGGAGCGAACAGG
This 253-nucleotide ribosomal RNA is filed under the name uncultured bacterium. RNAcentral's name for it is "partial 16S ribosomal RNA". It matches the Rfam family "Bacterial small subunit ribosomal RNA", at positions 524 to 776 of the family's 1533-position model. The record is from RNAcentral.